CUGGCACCUAAAAAGCCCUCAAUAAAUGUUUGUAGGAAUGGCAUGGGAAAUUGGUGAAAGGCUCUGAGAGACUCGAAACGAGGCCAACUCCACGGUGGGGAUUAAGCAUCUCAGCGGAUCCAGAGUCGUGGGCGGAGAGGGUCCAACCGGUAACCUGGUUGGAAAGGAUGGCUGAGAACGGGCACCGCUAAGGAGAACCUGGAGAGCUGACCCUCUGAUGAGAGAGAGCGAGAGCAGGUCUGGCCGCAGCCAUUCCUGGAAGGCCGGGGACAGACAGAGGCCUGAAUCCCGUCUUAUAAUAGAUCUUGAGAAAUGGAGUAUUUCCUGCCAUCUCAGUAAACAAGGAUGCUACAGUCAUCAGUGAUUCCAGGCCUCCAGGGCAACCAGGAAGAACAACCUGUGAUCCAGCAGCCACUUACUAAGUUAAAGUUGCAGGUAUUGUCCCUUGAUCCAUCACACCAGAGCGAAGAAGGCAUACCACGCUGACCCGGAGGACGCUGAGUGGACCACCCAGAAGGACCCCAUUGACCCAUGGGAAACCAAGAUCAUUCUGAGGAGGAAGAAGAAAACGAGGUCCUGGAGGAGCCCUCUACAGGAUGGAGCUGGGUAAAUGACUCCUGCUGCGCGGCCUCACCAAUGCAAUUCUGAACUUGGGCAUGUGGGGCUAUGCCCCUGUCGGUAAUGGACAGACUCCCCUAGUGGGUAUCGCCACUCCGUCCCUCUCUCUCACCAACCAUAACCUUUCUUUGCUCUCCUGGUGUAAGAAGAAGCCAUCAAUGGGCCAGGGACAGAGGGUUACAUUU
Molecule: long non-coding RNA, 803 nt
Organism: Dama dama (fallow deer)
Lineage: Eukaryota; Metazoa; Chordata; Mammalia; Artiodactyla; Cervidae
Exons: 3
Source: RefSeq, a predicted model, not a curated record